RNAcentral lists this long non-coding RNA (319 nucleotides) under Coccomyxa subellipsoidea. RNAcentral describes it as "long non-coding RNA (CSUB_LNC000433)". Lineage: Eukaryota; Viridiplantae; Chlorophyta; Trebouxiophyceae; Coccomyxaceae. The record is from RNAcentral.
CAGAAUCCCAAUACUGUGCGUUAACAGUAUUAACAGUCGGAGUGCUUCAAAUUUUGUAGCAGUAUGUUAUCAAGGCGUGUUGAUAGCACUCAAUAAUUUAUAUUUCUGCUGUCGGAUCACGUUGAUCAUUCGGUCGAAUAACGUAGGUUGGGCGCAAAGCAUAGGACCUUUGCAUCUGAGAAGUUAUUAGAUAAAUGCCCAAUGAUUAGCGUGCGGGGAUCACCUUGUCAUAUAUUCUAAUUCUGAGCUUUCAUGGGACCCUCACACCCCACAACAGGUCCUACAGCGCAGCUGUCUCAGCUACACAAUCCCAUACAGG